UGGGGAAUAUUGCACAAUGGGCGCAAGCCUGAUGCAGCGACGCCGCGUGCGGGAUGACGGCCUUCGGGUUGUAAACCGCUUUCAGCAGGGAAGAAGCGCAAGUGACGGUACCUGCAGAAGAAGCGCCGGCUAACUACGUGCCAGCAGCCGCGGUAAUACGUAGGGCGCAAGCGUUGUCCGGAAUUAUUGGGCGUAAAGAGCUCGUAGGCGGUUUGUCGCGUCUGCUGUGAAAUCCUCAGGCUCAACCUGGGGCUUGCAGUGGGUACGGGCAGACUAGAGUGCGGUAGGGGUGACUGGAAUUCCUGGUGUAGCGGUGGAAUGCGCAGAUAUCAGGAGGAACACCGAUGGCGAAGGCAGGUCACUGGGCCGCAACUGACGCUGAGGAGCGAAAGCAUGGGGAGCGAACA
This 407-nucleotide ribosomal RNA is filed under the name uncultured bacterium. RNAcentral describes it as "partial 16S ribosomal RNA". It matches the Rfam family "Bacterial small subunit ribosomal RNA", at positions 355 to 774 of the family's 1533-position model. RNAcentral also lists the same sequence under 1 other name. The record is from RNAcentral.